CCUACGGGAGGCAGCAGUGAGGAAUAUUGGGCAAUGGGCGGACGCCUGAACCAGCAAAGUCGCGUGAGGGAAGACGGACCUAGGGGUUGUAAACCUCUUUUGUCAGGGAGCAACGCCGGCUACGUGUAGCCGGACUGAGAGUACCUGAAGAAAAAGCAUCGGCAAACUCCGUCCCAGCAGCCGCGGUAAUACGGAGGAUGGGAGCAUUAUCCGGAUUUAUUGGGUGUAAAGGGUGCGUAGGCGGAAUGCCAAGUAAGCGGUAAAAUCGCGGGGCUCAACCUCGCUCCGCCGUUGAAACUGGGGUUCGUGAGUGGGCGAGAAGUAUGCGGAAUGCGUGGUGUAGCGGUGAAAUGCGUAGAUAUCACGCAGAACUCCGAUUGCGAAGGCAGCAUACCGGCGCCCAACUGACGCUGAAGCACGAAAGCGUGGGUAUCGAACAGGAUUAGAUACCCUAGUAGUC
Molecule: ribosomal RNA, 460 nt
Filed under: uncultured bacterium
Lineage: Bacteria
Description: partial 16S ribosomal RNA
Rfam family: Bacterial small subunit ribosomal RNA
Source: RNAcentral